GACGAACGCUGGCGGCGUGCUUAACACAUGCAAGUCGAACGGAAAGGCCCUGCUUUUGUGGGGUGCUCGAGUGGCGAACGGGUGAGUAACACGUGAGUAACCUGCCCUUGACUUUGGGAUAACUUCAGGAAACUGGGGCUAAUACCGGAUAGGAGCUCCUGCUGCAUGGUGGGGGUUGGAAAGUUUCGGCGGUUGGGGAUGGACUCGCGGCUUAUCAGCUUGUUGGUGGGGUAGUGGCUUACCAAGGCUUUGACGGGUAGCCGGCCUGAGAGGGUGACCGGCCACAUUGGGACUGAGAUACGGCCCAGACUCCUACGGGAGGCAGCAGUGGGGAAUAUUGCACAAUGGGCGGAAGCCUGAUGCAGCAACGCCGCGUGCGGGAUGACGGCCUUCGGAUUGUAAACCGCUUUCGCCUGUGACGAAGCGUGAGUGACGGUAAUGGGUAAAGAAGCACCGGCUAACUACGUGCCAGCAGCCGCGGUGAUACGUAGGGUGCGAGCGUUGUCCGGAUUUAUUGGGCGUAAAGGGCUCGUAGGUGGUUGAUCGCGUCGGAAGUGUAAUCUUGGGGCUUAACCCUGAGCGUGCUUUCGAUACGGGUUGACUUGAGGAAGGUAGGGGAGAAUGGAAUUCCUGGUGGAGCGGUGGAAUGCGCAGAUAUCAGGAGGAACACCAGUGGCGAAGGCGGUUCUCUGGGCCUUUCCUGACGCUGAGGAGCGAAAGCGUGGGGAGCGAACAGGCUUAGAUACCCUGGUAGUCCACGCUGUAAACGGUGGGUACUAGGUGUGGGGUCCAUUCCACGGGUUCCGUGCCGUAGCUAACGCUUUAAGUACCCCGCCUGGGGAGUACGGCCGCAAGGCUAAAACUCAAAGGAAUUGACGGGGCCCCGCACAAGCGGCGGAGCAUGCGGAUUAAUUCGAUGCAACGCGUAGAACCUUACCUGGGUUUGACAUGGAUCGGGAGUGCUCAGAGAUGGGUGUGCCUCUUUUGGGGUCGGUUCACAGGUGGUGCAUGGCUGUCGUCAGCUCGUGUCGUGAGAUGUUGGGUUAAGUCCCGCAACGAGCGCAACCCUUGUUCACUGUUGCCAGCACGUUAUGGUGGGGACUCAGUGGAGACCGCCGGGGUCAACUCGGAGGAAGGUGGGGAUGACGUCAAGUCAUCAUGCCCCUUAUGUCCAGGGCUUCACGCAUGCUACAAUGGCUGGUACAGAGAGUGGCGAGCCUGUGAGGGUGAGCGAAUCUCGGAAAGCCGGUCUCAGUUCGGAUUGGGGUCUGCAACUCGACCUCAUGAAGUCGGAGUCGCUAGUAAUCGCAGAUCAGCAACGCUGCGGUGAAUACGUUCCCGGG
This 1343-nucleotide ribosomal RNA is filed under the name uncultured bacterium. RNAcentral's name for it is "16S ribosomal RNA". It matches the Rfam family "Bacterial small subunit ribosomal RNA", at positions 28 to 1378 of the family's 1533-position model. The record is from RNAcentral.